AACACGUGAGCAAUCUGCCCUUGACUCUGGGAUAAGCGUUGGAAACGACGUCUAAUACCGGAUACGACCUUGGAAGGCAUCUUCUGGGGUGGAAAGAAUUUUGGUCAAGGAUGAGCUCGCGGCCUAUCAGCUAGUUGGUGAGGUAAUGGCUCACCAAGGCGACGACGGGUAGCCGGCCUGAGAGGGUGACCGGCCACACUGGGACUGAGACACGGCCCAGACUCCUACGGGAGGCAGCAGUGGGGAAUAUUGCACAAUGGGCGAAAGCCUGAUGCAGCAACGCCGCGUGAGGGACGACGGCCUUCGGGUUGUAAACCUCUUUUAGUAGGGAAGAAGCGUAAAAGUGACGGUACCUGCAGAAAAAGCACCGGCUAACUACGUGCCAGCAGCCGCGGUAAUACGUAGGGUGCAAGCGUUGUCCGGAAUUAUUGGACGUAAAGAGCUCGUAGGCGG
This 453-nucleotide ribosomal RNA is filed under the name uncultured Cryobacterium sp. RNAcentral describes it as "bacterial SSU rRNA". It matches the Rfam family "Bacterial small subunit ribosomal RNA", at positions 112 to 578 of the family's 1533-position model. The record is from RNAcentral. Lineage: Bacteria; Bacillati; Actinomycetota; Actinomycetes; Micrococcales; Microbacteriaceae.